Zea mays is the source of this 2198-nucleotide long non-coding RNA. RefSeq lists it as uncharacterized. Lineage: Eukaryota; Viridiplantae; Streptophyta; Magnoliopsida; Poales; Poaceae. The transcript is spliced from 2 exons. The record is from RefSeq and is a predicted model, not a curated record.
GGGAGUCUCGGUGUAGUGUCUCCGUCUGAGUCGAUUAAGGAUCUUGUCGAUGUAGGCUUGCUGAUCGAGGACCCUUUAACUGGUCACAUGCCUCAUCAUGGAUAAGCUUUGCCUCGGGCAGACUAAUACCAGAAUAAGAUAACACCCAAUGUGAGUGGAGAGAUGGCGAGAGUAGCGUGUACCCUCCGUGGCAAGAGGCUGGACGGUGGUGUAUUUGUGCUCUCGGUUGGCGUGAACCUAAUCUGGUCUUAAGAACCCCGGUGGCGAGUUGACAUAUGCAAGGGUUAAGUGUUACAUAUGUCGUGUGAUUGUAGAUCCUCAGCUGAGUAUAAUUGAUUCGGAUCGCCGUAACUUCGUGGACAUGAAGACUUGGUCACUGCCCUACACGUAGCAUUCUAGUGAAUAAGAAGGGUUAAUAAGAAAUUCGCUUGUAUAUGUCAAGUGCUUGAACUAGGGUAGAAAGAACUCUAGAUGCAGGUAACUUUACUUAACCUGACAAAUAAAAAUGGAUUUUAAAGAUCCACUCAUAGUAAGCUUUUCUGCAAAACAGAGUCUUUGAUUCUUGAUAAGCCAUACCUUGAAUCCCUCUAGCCAGCAUACCCUUGAGAGUCUUUUCUUUAGUCGGGUAAGUCUUGCUGAGUAAUUCCAUACUCAGAGUUUUAUUCCCUGUUGUUUUUCAGGUUAUAGUUUUGUGCUGCUGAUGAUGGUGUUAAGUGUCGGUGGGCUCGACCUUCUUAUAAGUCUAAGUAACUCUUUUAUACUUCUCAUUGAGGAUGGUCACUUGAGCUAGCAUAUAUUUCAAACUUAUACUUUUGUAAUCACUCUGAUAAAUAUAAUGUAAAAAAUAUGUAACUUGUAAAAUUUGGUAAUAAGAUUUCCGCUGCAAAAAUGUUGGUGUGUGAUUUGUGUUACUUAAUCUUAUGGUCCUGGUUGUAAGUGGUUUAUCCGAGGUCCUUGGGACACUCGGAUAGAUCCUGUUAAGUUAUCUGGUGCACAUGCAUAGCCAUCUGAGGUCUUUGAGACAAGGGCAGGUGCAUGUGGGCCCAAUAACUUGGGAGGUUCUGCCACACCGCCUUUGGUGCCCGUGGGAAGAAAAGGCUGAAUAGAGUAUUUAAUGUUAUUGGUUUUUUUUAUCUUGAUUACUACUUUCCGGCACGAAAAUAAGGAACGAAAAGGAAAAUUGCAUUGACGACCUCUUAUGUCGCGCCGAAGCCGAAGAGAACAAAAGUUAUAACUCACUGGCCGAAGUCAUAUUUUUAGAAAGGGCUGCUAUACUGCCUGCUGCAGGGGUUUCAAAGACAGAGGCUGUUGAAGCUGCCGAAGAUACCCCCUCAGCUUCGUAGAUGAUCAAAACACCCCCUGCAGCAGCCGAAGUUCCCACUAUUCAAAUGGAGAAAUUAAAAACAGAAAGUUCCAAGGCCGAGAAGCAGCCGAAGCCGUAGAGUUCUCCGGUGGGGCAAGGGCUGUCAAGAAUAACAUCUGCUUUAGUAGAGACACCCAAGAAAGGGAGAAGGAUGGCCAGCAUUCUAGGCGUUGUUUUGAGGCCUUCGAAAAUGGCUACUCCUUUUCCUACAAGGAUUUCCAAAGACAAACCUGGAGAGUUGGAAAAAGCUAUCGACGUAAGUGUUGCUCCUGAUUGCACUAAGGCUGGACCUUCGGAAAUAAGGUCAACAGAGCAAAUAAACGAGAGCCUGUCAGAGAAAAUUUCACUGUCGAUACCCAAAGCGGUGUCGACCAGAGAUCUUGAAUUCAUCAUUCGACAUGCUUCGAAAAAACAACUGACACAUAAGCAAAUUGUUGAAGCUCAGCAUUACGCUAAGGAUCUAAAUUAUCCUCAAUAUUGGCUUCUUAAACGAACGUCUAUAAAGUUCGUGAUUUACACUAGCCUAAGAGAACGCCUGUGGAUCUCAAGAAGACGCCUGUAAAAUGUGUGAUUUUCUGGUCUUUCACAUCGGCGGAAACUAGAAACACGAGUAUAUCGGAGGAGAUUGAAGGAGCUAAAAUCAACUCACUAUUUAAAAUUGUAUAGUAAGAUGCUUCUAGCCCUACCAAUUCUCUACUGUCUUCUUCCUCCUAAACAAGACCUAAAAGUAGAUCUGAAAUCACGAGUAAUAAUGUUGUGUGUACUAGUGAUUCCCAUGGUACAAAGUUUUGAUUAGCAAAUAGAUAGAAUAUCAUAAGCCAUGCACCCCUCAUCA